AAAAUAGCACUGGUCCAACAAGUCUGGGAUUCCCUGCAUGGCAGAACUGCCUCUUGUAGAGUCCUGGGUGCUCAUUUGCAUAGUAAAUGUUCUGAGAACACUGUUUAAUCCAGUGUUUUAAAAAAACCAAAAAAACAAGAAAUUUUGAUUACAGAACUUUUCCAGGAACAAUGAUUGACAUUUUGAGGAAGGUCCGAGUGGUCAAUAGUUGGUGCUUAGUAAUAAGUAUUCUUCCAAUGAAUAAGUGUCCUCAUAAUAUAAUAUUUAAUAUCCUACCAUUAGAAAUUAUUCCCAGGGGCUGUGCAGGGAGCAGCAGAUUUCUGGGAUAUACAGUUACAAAGAGAAGGGGAAGGGUGAAGAAUGCAGAGAGGGAGGUUUGCUAAAACAAACAAACAUUUUACAUUUUGCCUAGGGCAGGGCUCUGAAUGAGGAUUCACGUUCGAUCCAGUGGACAGAUAUGGGAGCAAUGAAAGGUUAUAAAUGUUUUGGGUCCUUUUUUCCUAGGAAGUUUGGUGCUUAACUAUAUGCCAAAAACUGAAAGGAAGAGAAAUCCUAAAUAUAAACACUACUCCUCAGUUACCGAGAAGUCAUCUUUCGCUCCUCUGUUUUUUUGCAUUCUCACAAAGAUACACUGUCAGAAUACAUAUGGUCUGGCUUUUUGCAUAGAGCCCCCAAUUUUGCUUUUAACUCAGGAAGAGAUAAAGGAAAGAGGAUAAGUUUAAAAAUACCUGGAUUUCAAUUAAACUGAUUCUUCCUUCUUAGGAGUAAAAAGUAUGAGGGCUAAGGAGAGAGGAGUGAAUUGUAUGUAUGUAUGUAUGUGUGUGAUAUAUAUCUGCGAUCAACAGCAAUUUCAUUUUUAGGUGAAACCCGUAGACCUCAGAUUGGGGGUUUAAAUAUUUGUGAGUACAGUGAGAAUUGUUUGUUAUAUUUCAUUUACGUGAAAAACAGAACGUUUUAUGAAAUGGGAAAGGAAAUUCAUUUCCCUUUGAAGAUGUAAAUCCAGCCUAAGAGGAAAAUGCAGUUGAAAUGUGAAAUUUAUGAAAGGCAAAGAAAGUAUGUUUUUUAACCCGACAAAUUACAGACUCUGUAAAGAUAAACUAUCUUUGGUUUGUUGUGGGGAGGGGGAGAAGAGAAUAUUAAAAAUUUCCCAAGAUUCCUGACGACCACUGCCGCGCAGUCAUGCCUUCUGCUUGGUGGAGGGGCCGGGCCUGUGCUUUCUCCUCCUUCCUCCCCACCUCCCGUUUCCGGCAGGAUCCGUCUCCCACUGCCGCUGGGACCUCGUGUCAUUGCCCGCCCCGAGCAUGAUGCCCCCCCAAAAAGGGAGGUGAUGGAAUUAAACCACCCCAAUCAUUGGAAGAUUUGGAACCUCCUUGAAAAUUGGUAUUGCUGGAUUGCCAAAUGUUGGGAAAUCUACCUUCUUCAAUGUAUUAACCAAUAGUCAGGCUUCAGCAGAAAACUUCCCAUUCUGCACCCCUGAUCCUAAUGAAAGCGGCUACCUGUGCCAGAUGAAAGGUUUGACUUUUUUUGCCGGUACCACAGACCAGCAAGCAAAAUUCCUGCCUUUCUAAAUGUAGUGGAUAUUGCUGGCCUUGUGAAAGGAGCUCACAAUGGUCAAGCCUUGGGAAAUGCCUUUUUAUCUUGUAUCAGUGCCUGUGAUGGAAUCUUUCAUCUAACACGUGCUUUUGAAGAUGAUGAUAUCACGUAUGUUGAAGGAAAUGUAGAUCCUAUUCGAGAUAUAGAAAUAAUCCACGAAGAACUUCAGCUUAAAGAUGAGGAAAUGAUUGGGCCCAUUAUAGAUAAACUGGAAAAAGUGGUUGUGAGAGGAGGAGAUAAAAAAUUAAAACCUGAAUAUGAUAUAAUGUGCGAAGUCAAAUCCUGGGUUAUAGAUCAGAAGAAACCUGUUCGCUUCUAUCAUGAUUGGAACGACAAAGAGAUUGAAGUGUUGAAUAAACACUUAUUUCUGACUUCAAAACCAAUGUCUACUUGGUUAAUCUUUCUGGAAAAAAACUACAUUAGAAAGAAAAACAAAUGGUUGAUAAAAAUUAAAGAGUGGGUGGACAAGUAUGACCCAGGUGCCUUGGUCAUUCCUUUUAGUGGGGCCUUGGAACCCAAGUUGCAAGAAUUGAGUGCUGAGGAGAGACAGAAGUAUCUGGAAGUGAACAUGACACAAAGCGCUUUGCCAACCAUCAUUAAAGCUGGGUUUGCAGCACUCCAACUAGAAUACUGCAGGCCCAGAUGGAGUACGUGCAUGGACCAUCAGGAAAGGGACAAAGGCUCCUCAAGUUGCAGGAAAGAUUCACACAGAUUUUGAAAAAGGAUUCAUUAUGGCUGAAGUAAUGAAAUAUGAAGAUUUUAAAGAGGAAGGUUCUGAAAAUGUGGUCAAGGCUGCUGGAAAGUACAGACAACAAGGCAGAAAUUAUAUUGUUGAAGAUGGAGAUACUAUCUUCUUCAAAUUUAAUACAACUCAGCAACUGAAGAAGAAAUAAAUUUUAGUUACUAUUCAGAUAAAUGUACAACUUCCAAAAAUGGGUAUGAUUUUUUUAAAUCAACAUUUCUGAAAACUGAGGGGAAAAUAAAGUUGGGGAAUGGGAAUCUUCUAAAAACAGAAUUAUUUUUGUUUUAAAAUUAAAAUACUGUGUACCGCCAGUGAAAUGCAAGUUCACUGAAUGUGAACAGCUUUGCUUUUCACGUGAUUAAGACCCUACUCCAAAUUGUAGAUGCUUUUCAGGAACCAUAUUACUCUCAUGAUACUUCAUUAAUCUCCAUCAUGUAUUCCAAGCCUGACACAUUUGACAGUGAGGACAAUGUGGCUUGCUCCUUUUUGAAUCUACAGAUAAUGCAUGUUUUACAGUACUCCAGAUUC
Non-coding RNA from Callorhinus ursinus (northern fur seal), 2863 nucleotides. Lineage: Eukaryota; Metazoa; Chordata; Mammalia; Carnivora; Otariidae. The record is from RefSeq and is a predicted model, not a curated record.